Molecule: long non-coding RNA, 960 nt
Organism: Drosophila miranda
Lineage: Eukaryota; Metazoa; Arthropoda; Insecta; Diptera; Drosophilidae
Exons: 3
Source: RefSeq, a predicted model, not a curated record
UCAGACCUACAGAAAAACGUGGAGCUCAUCCUAAAGAAGCUGGGGCAACUGGUGCAUUAUGUCGGGCCUUAAAACGGCCAACCGCAUACUCGCGCGGUGCAGGCAACUCAGUUGCCUGACAUGGCAACUCCGUCGCCAUCCAUCUUGGGCCGGUGAGAGGAGGAGAGAAACUCACCCCGGGAGCUUCGUGAGUGUUAUGAGUGAGUUGGAGUUUGAGUGACAAACCCCAAAUUAAUUUAGCCAUGGCAGAUUGCUUUAAAAUCCUGAUUGACGACCUUCUUGGGUUUGGACACGGUCUGCUCGGGCCAGGAGUCCAGAGUAAAGCUCAGUAGGCAUCGCGCCCAUAGGUUAUAGCCAGUCACUUCACUCAGUGGCUGCUACCGCCGACUCGGAAGAAAAGAACCACCAGCCUGGAUAACGCCUGCUUAUGAUAACGUCGUUCCGUCUGUGUGUGUGUGUGUGAAGGGGGCGCUGCUCGAGUGCACCGCAAGUCCAUUUAACGUAACUUUGGCAGAGAUGGCCCUAGACCUAGACCUGGCUGCCAGGAUGGUUCUUCUCCGGCUGCCACGUCUCGCUGCAUCACUCAAACACAGAGGGGCGACAAGGAUGCGUGUGUGUCAGCCCAUGUCCCUGUCCGUGCACCAGCUACGUAACUGUGUGAGCAUCGUAAUUUGCAUGGUCAGCUUCUAGUUGUGGGACACACUAAGUGGCAAGUGGUUCCUCGUCCCUGGCUUAAUUGCAUGCAGGAAUAGAAGCAGCAGCAGAGCAGCCGCAUCAGCAUCGGCAACUUCAUCCAAUUGCUGUUACCCACUUUUGGGGAAUGGCCCAUGCACAUUCUCGGUGCCAUCGAAAGCGAUUCUUUCCACCUUAAAGCGCACACUUUAUGGAAUUUCGUAGUGUUAUCUGACUGGGCCAAGCACCCAUCCACCGAUGGCCGGGACAAAUUCAAUUGCAGACAGC